RNAcentral lists this transfer RNA (72 nucleotides) under Bos taurus (domestic cattle). It matches the Rfam family "tRNA". From Rfam's summary of the family: Transfer RNA (tRNA) molecules are approximately 80 nucleotides in length. Their secondary structure includes four short double-helical elements and three loops (D, anti-codon, and T loops). The record is from Rfam by way of RNAcentral. Lineage: Eukaryota; Metazoa; Chordata; Mammalia; Artiodactyla; Bovidae. RNAcentral also lists the same sequence under 1 other name.
UCCUUGAUAUUUCAGUUGGUAAAGAAUCUGCCUGCAAUGCAGGAGAACUGGGUUCGAUCCCUGGUUGGGAAG